AAAAAGAGAGAAGAAAAUUUUGGAACACAAGAUUUUGCAAAGGGCUACAACUGGCAUCAAAGUCUAGACAUACCUGAGCCCUCCAUUGAAUGGAGUCAAAUAUAAGCUGAAGUACAGCAGUGAGGGAAGAGGAUACAAGGCACAAAUUUAAAGAAUGAUAGAGAUCUUGGAGAUCGUUGAAUCCAACCCUCUUCAUUGAACAGAUAAGGAAACUGAGACCAAGAGGAGACUAGACCUAGUCCUAUAUCACAUAGGAAAUUUCAGGUGGAAGACAACUGGAAAAGGAAGUUACCUCAUAACAACCUGAGAAAGUGCCCAAAAGUCAUUGAAAUAUAUGGAACAUUUUUUCUAAGAACUAGGGAUCCAUUGACUGGAUACUUUUACCAACUAAAAAACAAUUUCUCUUCCAUUCCCCUCAAUGCAAGUAUAUUAUAGUCAUAUAUUUAUACUCUUUUGAGUUCCUUAGAGACAUUCAAAGGCCACAGCUCAUAUAGAAAGAUGUGGGAAGAGCUAACAGAUGCAAAUAAUUUUUGCUUCACUUAUCUUUCCCAUAUCACUCAUAUGGGCUCCCAAAUUUUUUGAAAUUUUUUGAAACUACUUAUUUCCUCAAAAGUUUUAAACUGUGGAUAUGAAGAAGUGGGCAUAGUGAAUGGAAGAGUAGAUACUGACUGGCUGCAAAGGGAAAAGGAUGCUUCUAUCUACUGUCUCUGACCCCUCAUAAGCCUGGCAAACUAUAGAAUGGUGUUUAUGGAUAAAUGGCAACUUACUGGGAAAAAAAUCUUCUCUAAAAGAGCAAUUAAAUAAAGCUUCAAGAAGUUUAAAUAGACACUGAUCUAUCUUUAGAAACCUACAUUCUGGAAUCAUAUAUGUCCAUAUAAAGGAGACCAUAAUAUUAGAAUACUUUUCUACUUUAGAAAUCAUAAAGGCUAAAAUUUAUCUUGGAAAUAUUCAAAGACUUCUAUAGUCUAGAGUCAAAUAAGAUCAUGAAGUAUGUAAUUCUCAUUAUUUUAAGCUUAGGGAUGCCCUCUGAAUUUAAAGGGAGCAAAAGAUCUAUUUUUUUUUUACCAAAUAUAUGUUUGGUAAACAUAUAUUUACCAAAAACAUAUACAUUUCAUUGUGCCAGAUACACUAUUGAAAACCAGAAAUCCUGGGGUUUUGUGUUUGUUUGUCUGUUUUUAAAAUAGCAUUUGGUGAUUUGCAAAAGAACUUGGAUAUCAAAAACUAUAGCUGAAAGACAAUAUUUUUUUUUCCCUUUACAUCAUGCCCUCAGUAUGCAUUCCUGACAGAUGCAAAUGUGUGAAAUGUGUAUGGGAAAACAUAGAAUCUAAAUGUAGUGAUGUAUAAGUAGAAAACAAGCAAGUAAGGAAAUGUAUAAGAAUAAAAGUAAUUCCAGGAAACAA
This is a long non-coding RNA of Sarcophilus harrisii (Tasmanian devil), 1400 nucleotides long. RefSeq lists it as uncharacterized. The transcript is spliced from 3 exons. The record is from RefSeq and is a predicted model, not a curated record. Lineage: Eukaryota; Metazoa; Chordata; Mammalia; Dasyuromorphia; Dasyuridae.